UAAGGAAUAUUGGACAAUGGGCGCAAGCCUGAUCCAGCCAUCCCGCGUGUGGGACGAAGGCCCUCCGGGUCGUAAACCACUUUUGCGUAGGAAGAACAGCGUGGAUUUAUCUGCGUUUGACGGUACUACGAGAAUAAGCACCGGCUAACUCC
This 152-nucleotide ribosomal RNA is filed under the name uncultured bacterium. Its description in RNAcentral is "partial 16S ribosomal RNA". It matches the Rfam family "Bacterial small subunit ribosomal RNA", at positions 355 to 504 of the family's 1533-position model. The record is from RNAcentral.